GACGAACGCUGGCGGCGUGCUUAACACAUGCAAGUCGAACGGAAAGGCCCUGCUUUUGUGGGGUGCUCGAGUGGCGAACGGGUGAGUAACACGUGAGUAACCUGCCCUUGACUUUGGGAUAACUUCAGGCAACUGGGGCUAAUACCGGAUAGGAGCUCCUGCUGCAUGGUGGGGGUUGGAAAGUUUCGGCGGUUGGGGAUGGACUCGCGGGUUAUUAGCUUGUUGGGGGGGUAGUGGCUUACCCAGGGUUUGACGGAUAGCCGGCAUGAGAGGGGGACCGGCCACAUGGGGACUGAGAUACGGCGCAGUCUCCUACGGUAGGCAGCAGUGGAGAAUAUUGCACAGUGGGCGGACGCCUGAUGCAGCGACGCCGCGUGCGGGAUGACGGCCUUCGGGUUGUAAACCGCUUUCGCCUGAGACGAAGCUUGUGUGACGGUAAUGGGUAAAGAAGCACCGGCUAACUACGUG
RNAcentral lists this ribosomal RNA (468 nucleotides) under uncultured bacterium. Its description in RNAcentral is "partial 16S ribosomal RNA". It matches the Rfam family "Bacterial small subunit ribosomal RNA", at positions 28 to 507 of the family's 1533-position model. The record is from RNAcentral.